Molecule: ribosomal RNA, 253 nt
Filed under: uncultured bacterium
Lineage: Bacteria
Description: partial 16S ribosomal RNA
Rfam family: Bacterial small subunit ribosomal RNA
Source: RNAcentral
UACGAAGGGGGCUAGCGUUGCUCGGAAUCACUGGGCGUAAAGCGCACGUAGGCGGCUUUCUAAGUCAGGGGUGAAAUCCUGGAGCUCAACUCCAGAACUGCCUUUGAUACUGGAAAGCUCGAGUCCGGAAGAGGUGAGUGGAACUGCGAGUGUAGAGGUGAAAUUCGUAGAUAUUCGCAAGAACACCAGUGGCGAAGGCGGCUCACUGGUCCGGUACUGACGCUGAGGUGCGAAAGCGUGGGGAGCGAACAGG